This 501-nucleotide ribosomal RNA is filed under the name uncultured bacterium. RNAcentral's name for it is "partial 16S ribosomal RNA". It matches the Rfam family "Bacterial small subunit ribosomal RNA", at positions 30 to 523 of the family's 1533-position model. The record is from RNAcentral.
AUUGAACGCUGGCGGCAGGCUUAACACAUGCAAGUCGAGCGGAGAUGAGGUGCUUGCACCUUAUCUUAGCGGCGGACGGGUGAGUAAUGCUUAGGAAUCUGCCUAUUAGUGGGGGACAACAUUCCGAAAGGAAUGCUAAUACCGCAUACGUCCUACGGGAGAAAACAGGGGAUCUUCGGACCUUGCGCUAAUAGAUGAGCCUAAGUCGGAUUAGCUAGUUGGUGGGGUAAAGGCCUACCAAGGCGACGAUCUGUAGCGGGUCUGAGAGGAUGAUCAGCCACACUGGGACUGAGACACGGCCCAGACUCCUACGGGAGGAAGCAGUGGGGAAUAUUGGACAAUGGGGGAAACCCUGAUCCAGCCAUGCCGCGUGUGUGAAGAAGGCCUUAUGGUUGUAAAGCACUUUAAGCGAGGAGGAGGCUACUGAGACUAAUACUCUUGGAUAGUGGACGUUACUCGCAGAAUAAGCACCGGCUAACUCUGUGCCAGCAGCCGCCGCGG